GACGAACCGUGCAAACGUUGUUCGGAAUCACUGGGCUUAAAGGGCGCGUAGGCGGGCUCGCCAGUCAGGGGUGAAAGCCCACAGCUCAACUGUGGAAGUGCCUUUGAUACUGCGAGUCUCGAGGGAGGUAGGGGCGUGCGGAACUUCCGGUGGAGCGGUGAAAUGCGUAGAUAUCGGAAGGAACACCGGUGGCGAAAGCGGCGCGCUGGACCUCUUCUGACGCUGAGGCGCGAAAGCCAGGGGAGCAAACGGG
Molecule: ribosomal RNA, 253 nt
Filed under: uncultured bacterium
Lineage: Bacteria
Description: partial 16S ribosomal RNA
Rfam family: Bacterial small subunit ribosomal RNA
Source: RNAcentral